RNAcentral lists this non-coding RNA (27 nucleotides) under Mus musculus (house mouse). Lineage: Eukaryota; Metazoa; Chordata; Mammalia; Rodentia; Muridae. The record is from RNAcentral.
UGGCUGCUUAAGUUUUUGUUCAUUAGA